Molecule: ribosomal RNA, 501 nt
Filed under: uncultured bacterium
Lineage: Bacteria
Description: partial 16S ribosomal RNA
Rfam family: Bacterial small subunit ribosomal RNA
Source: RNAcentral
AUUGAACGCUGGCGGCAGGCUUAACACAUGCAAGUCGAGCGGGGGAAGGUAGCUUGCUACCGGACCUAGCGGCGGACGGGUGAGUAAUGCUUAGGAAUCUGCCUAUUAGUGGGGGACAACAUCUCGAAAGGGAUGCUAAUACCGCAUACGUCCUACGGGAGAAAGCAGGGGAUCUUCGGACCUUGCGCUAAUAGAUGAGCCUAAGUCGGAUUAGCUAGUUGGUGGGGUAAAGGCCUACCAAGGCGACGAUCUGUAGCGGGUCUGAGAGGAUGAUCCGCCACUACGUGGCUGGAACACGGCCCCGACUCCUACGGGAGGCAGCAGUGGGGAAUAGUGGACAAUGGGGGGAACCCUGAUCCAGCCAGGCCGCGUGUGUGAAGAAGGCCUUAUGGUUGUAAAGCACUUUAAGCGAGGAGGAGGCUACUUAGAUUAAUACUCUGAGAUAGUGGACGUUACUCGCAGAAUAAGCACCGGCUAACUCUGUGCCAGCCGCCGCCGUAA